RNAcentral lists this long non-coding RNA (714 nucleotides) under Volvox carteri. Its description in RNAcentral is "long non-coding RNA (VCAR_LNC001746)". Lineage: Eukaryota; Viridiplantae; Chlorophyta; Chlorophyceae; Chlamydomonadales; Volvocaceae. The record is from RNAcentral.
UAGCUGCACGGAUGAGCAGGCCUGGUUACACAUGUGAUGGUGAUGUGCACAAGCAUGUCCUUAAGGUCACUGUCAUGGGAUGAUGUGCACAACGGUGUGCAUGUGCAGGGUGGCAGUUGACAUGUCAUUGAACAUUGAUGAAUCACAGGGAGACUGAAUAGUUGUAGUAAUGAUGCUGCAGUUGGGAGAUGAACAUCUAGACUGCUGUUUAGCCUGAGUGGCAGGCAGUGUUGAUUUCUAGAUAGUUAACAUGACUGGGUGGCAGGGGUGAUAGAUGUGCACAUAUGGCCUAGAAGGGUUAGAUUGCUGUAACUACAUGUUUACCUUGAGAUUAAGGCAGCCACUCUGAUCACCAGCUUGACUGACCAUUAACCCAAGUGGCCGGUAACCCAACAGACAGGUAACCCAACUGACCAUUAACCCAACUGACAGGUUAAUGUGUCUUUAACGAUUCGGUUCGGUUAAUGAACCCGGUAGUGUUCAAAAUGGUCGGUAACCGAAGUGUUUAUGCCAUAGGGCAUAGGGAAAGGCAUGUUCAAUGCCCUACCAACUCAUAGGGGGUCUAACAGCGGCUAACAGGCGUGCCUGUUAGGAAAUGUUAGCCUAACAGAUUCUCUAACAGUGAUGGGGCUGUCAGACGAUGUUUGGGCUGGCGGCGGGUGGAUCUGGCUGUUAACAACCAUGUUGGAGAAGUAGAACAGGAAUUGGUGCUGU